GGGCGGAUAGCUCAGUGGAAGAGCACCUGCUUUACACGCAGGGGGUCGUAGGUUCGAACCCUACUUCGCCCA
This 72-nucleotide transfer RNA is filed under the name Thermodesulfobium narugense DSM 14796. It matches the Rfam family "tRNA". From Rfam's summary of the family: Transfer RNA (tRNA) molecules are approximately 80 nucleotides in length. Their secondary structure includes four short double-helical elements and three loops (D, anti-codon, and T loops). Lineage: Bacteria; Pseudomonadati; Thermodesulfobiota; Thermodesulfobiia; Thermodesulfobiales; Thermodesulfobiaceae. RNAcentral also lists the same sequence under 1 other name. The record is from Rfam by way of RNAcentral.